Nothoprocta perdicaria is the source of this 1712-nucleotide long non-coding RNA. RefSeq lists it as uncharacterized. Lineage: Eukaryota; Metazoa; Chordata; Aves; Tinamiformes; Tinamidae. The transcript has 3 exons. The record is from RefSeq and is a predicted model, not a curated record.
CUCAAAAGGAAGAAAAACGGAAAGUUCCUACAACAUCAAUAACAUCAUGAUCUCCAUGUGAAUGGCAGCAGCCACUCGAGAGGAGAAGCUCCAGUACAAAGAGAUCGUGACACCAAGGUCCUCCAACAAACUAGAUGGCUGAUGGUCCAGGCAGCCUGAGCUGACAUCUCCAGUUCCUGGACUUCAUUGCCACACUCCACCAGCUCACACAGCCCUGAGACUGGAAACAACCUGCAGCCUCUCUCCAUAAGCAGCAGGAUCAGAAUGGAGCUGUCCUUCAGUGAAGAUGCCAGAUCUCACCUAGAAGCCUUAGACAAAGCAAUUUGGAGUGUACCACACCGGGAGCCUUGUGCCUUUCCACUCUCCGAUGCUGGGCACCACACUCUUCUGCAGCAGCCACAGGCAGUUGGCUGCAGAGAGGCUGACGCUCAGCCCAAGCAGAGCAUCAAGUGCAGAAACUGCCACAGCCAGCUCCAGAGAGGCAGUUUGCAAGUACGUGCUUGCAAACAUGGCAAUAAGAACACAGAGGGAUUCAUGCUCCAGCAGUGCAACCCAGGGAAGCUCUUCAGCGAAGAGAAACCUGACCCAGGGGUGUAGGAAGUGUUAAGACGCUCAUCCCUCAGUAUCAAGACACCACUAGGUGGAUGCACUGGAGCAGUAGCAAGGUCAGGUGCUGCUGCAGACACAGCAACACUGGGCAUCCCACUGAGAGGAAGAGUCAGGCAAGAGGAAUUCCAGUGGAAUUCCAGAAUGGAACUGGAAUUUUUUGAUCUUAGUAAAGGUGCCCACCAGGUGCUGAGUGGCUAGAGGCAGAAAUGUGGACAGGUUUCAGGUGGUCCUCACCCACUUCAUCUAUUUACAAACAGCCCAGCAGGUCUGCGGAGGUCUUGCUGUGAUUUAGGUAUCAACCAAAGGCCUGAUGAGGAAGAUGGAAGGAGAAAGCCUCUUGCUGCUGCUGCUUGCUGUUUACCAUUAAAUACAUGAAAAUCAGGUUCCCCUGGCCUUGCACAAUUGAUUUUUUUUUUCAGUUUUCUUCGAUGAAACUGCAGGUUCAUUUGGUAACAGAUUUCUUGCCGUUACAAAAUUGAUGGGUUGAAAGGGAAUUUCUGACUUUUGUAACUUUUUCGGGAUUGCCUCCUUUCAUGGGAGUGACAGCAGGCUCAGGGAUUUUAGCAACAAGCCACUGUAAAGCAGUACAGCUUGAGGGAAAUGUGCGUUCUGUGAAGGAACCUGGCGUUGCUGCCGCUUCCAGGUGAGCGGGGCAGGAAGCCAUUUCAGGGAGUGCACUUGAAAGCUGGCAGGUCUGGUAGGUGUCCUACCAGAACGUGUCAAAUUCAGUGCUGCUAACUGAAAGGCCUUGGAACUGUAUUCGUUUAACCAGCAACAGUGACAUGUUCCAGCUUGAAUUCUUCUCACUUGAAAUAAUUCUCUUAAGUAAAGGUUGUUUCUCUAGAACAGAGGGAAAAAAAGUUCUUACUACCGUUUUUUUAUGGAAAAACGUGCUUUAUUGACUCUAACAAUGAUCCAUGAAGUUGACAUUACUGGAUGUUUGUUUUCAUCACUCUGUCUACCUCCAGAAGUGUCCUUUCUUGCAAGUAUUUAUUUCUGGGUUGGAGACUGAGGAGUACUGUGAAGCUCUAGUGCACUGUACUGGGACUGUGAUUCUGAGGGUACUGCCAGAAAUGUUGCAUCGAGCGUCAGUGGCACGUGGC